Molecule: long non-coding RNA, 591 nt
Organism: Zea mays
Lineage: Eukaryota; Viridiplantae; Streptophyta; Magnoliopsida; Poales; Poaceae
Exons: 2
Source: RefSeq, a predicted model, not a curated record
CCUCCGCUACCAGUCGUGCCCCCCCCCCCCCCCCCCCCCCCCCCGUCGCCUCAUACCGCUCUGCAACCCGCACAUCAUCUGCUGCCCCUAUGGCUGCCACGCGUGAGUGCCCUAGUGAAGUCGACCACCCUUUCCCCACCGCCUUUGGUCGUAUCCCUCUGCCCUGCCUCUCCGCCAGGCCUCUAUUGCCCCCUCCUCCGACGCCUGCAGUGGAAGGUAAGGAGAAGGACGGCGGUAGCCGGAUCUGGUGAGCACGCGACUGCACCCCGCCUGUGGCCAGGCGGCGCCCGGAUUCGCGUCGCUUUGCAACCCCCCGCGAGUAGGUCUAUUCCAGGGACAAUCGGAUGGCUGCGCAUCGCCUGGAGGCUGGUUGUUGGUCAGGAGCUUGAAGUUUUAACUGGAAUGGAGUCAAUCUGUUUAGCUUAGCUCUUCAGGAACUCCUAAACGUUUCUCAACUGGAAGGAUUAAUUAAUAUCUAGAAUUUGAUGUGGUUGUGUAUGUUGUACUUUAUAUUUUGGCAUACUAUGCACAAAAACAAAUGCCUUCUAUGAUCAUCGUGAUUCAUACAUUUUCAAACAAAAAUUUACGAUA